This 709-nucleotide ribosomal RNA is filed under the name uncultured bacterium. Its description in RNAcentral is "bacterial SSU rRNA". It matches the Rfam family "Bacterial small subunit ribosomal RNA", at positions 823 to 1530 of the family's 1533-position model. The record is from RNAcentral.
UUGGGUCCCCUUGGAGGACUUAGUGACCAGCUAACCAAUAAGUAGACCGCCUGGGGAGUACGGCCCGCAAGGUUAAAACUCAAAUGAAUUGACGGGGGCCCGCACAACGGUGGAGCAUGUGGUUUAAUUCGAUGCAACGCGAAGAACCUUACCUGGUCUUGACAUAUCUAGAAUCCUGCAGAGAUGCGGGAGUGCCUUCGGGAAUUAGAAUACAGGUGCUGCAUGGCUGUCGUCAGCUCGUGUCGUGAGAUGUUGGGUUAAGUCCCGCAACGAGCGCAACCCUUUUCCUUAGUUACCAGCGGGUUAAGCCGGGAACUCUAAGGAUACUGCCAGUGACAAACUGGAGGAAGGCGGGGACGACGUCAAGUCAUCAUGGCCCUUACGACCAGGGCUACACACGUGCUACAAUGGUAGGUACAGAGGGCAGCUACACAGCGAUGUGAUGCGAAUCUCAAAAAGCCUAUCGUAGUCCAGAUUGGAGUCUGCAACUCGACUCCAUGAAGUAGGAAUCGCUAGUAAUCGCGGAUCAGAAUGCCGCGGUGAAUACGUUCCCGGGCCUUGUACACACCGCCCGUCACACCAUGGGAGUUGAUUGCACCAGAAGUGGAUAGCCUAACCGUAAGGAAGGCGUUCACCACGGUGUGGCUCCAUGACUGGGGUGAAGUCGUAACAAGGUAGCCGUAGGGGAACCUGCGGCUGGAUCACCUCC